Molecule: ribosomal RNA, 473 nt
Filed under: uncultured bacterium
Lineage: Bacteria
Description: SSU rRNA
Rfam family: Bacterial small subunit ribosomal RNA
Source: RNAcentral
AGGACGAACGCUGGCGGCGUGCUUAACACAUGCAAGUCGAGCGGAAAGGCCCUUCGGGGUACUCGAGCGGCGAACGGGUGAGUAACACGUGAGCAACCUGCCCUUAGCUCCGGGAUAGCUCCGGGAAACCGGAAUUAAUACCGGAUACGACCACGGCCGACAUCUGCUGUGGUGGAAAGGAUUCCGGCUAAGGAUGGGCUCGCGGCCUAUCAGCUAGUUGGUGGAGUAACGGCCCACCAAGGCGACGACGGGUAGCCGGCCUGAGAGGGCGACCGGCCACACUGGGACUGAGACACGGCCCAGACUCCUACGGGAGGCAGCAGUGGGAAUAUUGCGCAAUGGGCGAAAGCCUGACGCAGCGACGCCGCGUGGGGAUGAAGGCCUUCGGGUUGUAAACCCCUUUCAGCAGGGACGAAGCGAAAGUGACGGUACCUGCAGAAGAAGCGCCGGCUAACUACGUCGCCAGCAGCCGC